RNAcentral lists this non-coding RNA (778 nucleotides) under Barbourion lemaii. Lineage: Eukaryota; Metazoa; Arthropoda; Insecta; Lepidoptera; Sphingidae. The record is from RNAcentral.
AAAUAAAUUUUUUAUGGUUUUAAAAAUUUAUUUUAAAAUUUAUUUUACAUAUAAAUUUUAGUGUUAAUUAUUAAUUAUUUAAAUAAUAAUUAAUUAAAAUUGUAGUAAUUAACUUUAAAUUAUUUAAGGAAUUAAGAUUUAGUAAUAUUAAAAUUAAUAACUAAUUUUGUGCCAGCAGUUGCGGUUAUACAAAAAUUAAUUUAAAUUUUUUUAGCAUUUAAUUAGUAGUUAAUUAAAUUAAUUUAAAUUUUAAAUUAUAAAGUGAAAUUUUAAUUUAAUAAAAAAUUAUUAUAUAAUUAUGAUUUAAUAAAUUUUAUAAAAAACUAGGAUUAGAUACCCUAUUAUUAAAAAAUAAAUUUAAAAUGCUUAAAUAGUAUAUAAUUAUUUAUUGAAACUUAAAUAAUUUGGCGGUAUUUUAGUUUAUUUAGAGGAAUCUGUUUAAUAAUUGAUAAUCCACGAAUAAAUUUACUUAUUUUAUUAUUUUGUAUAUCGUUGUUAAAAAAAUAUUUUUUAAUAAUAAUAAUAUUUAAAUUUUUUUAAAUAAAGUUAAAUCAGAUCAAGAUGCAGAUUAUAAUUAAGAAUAUAAUGGAUUACAAUAAAUUUAUUUAAUUGGAUUUUAUUUUGUAAUAAUUAAAUGAAAUUGGAUUUAAAUGUAAUUUUAUUUAAAUUAAUAAAAUGAUUUAUUAUUAAAAUAUGUACAUAUUGCCCGUCGCUUUCAUUAAUAAAUUGAAAUAAGUCGUAACAAAGUAGAGAUACUGGAAAGUGUUUCUAGAAAGAU